This is a long non-coding RNA of Bolinopsis microptera, 2477 nucleotides long. RefSeq lists it as uncharacterized. NCBI's taxonomy places the organism in Eukaryota, Metazoa, Ctenophora, Tentaculata, Lobata, Bolinopsidae. The record is from RefSeq and is a predicted model, not a curated record. The transcript has 4 exons.
GUAAUAGAAUGUGUAAUUAAUAUUACAGAUAAUCAAAACAAUAAUAACAUCCCACACAAUUAAACAAGAGUUUGUGAGUUCACAUGAUCAGGAGAAGAUCAGUAAUUUCCUAGCUCAAACAUAAACCUAAUUAAAUCAUUGUGUGUAAAGAAUUUGGGGUAAAGAUGACGUUAAUUAAGUGUAUGGGGUCACGCAGGCGUCGUGAAUCAGGUGUGUCAUGUUUACAAGCAAUGCAAACAUCGUAAACAGAUGUAUGACUUCUUCAGUUAACGUUAAUCAGGUGUCGUUAAUUAGGUUCAUGACCUCCUACAGUAGGCGCUAAUUAGGAGUUGCAUGCUGACAACGAAAUUUCACUGCUUAAACUACAGUAUAAAAACCUUCCACCAGAUUUACCGAUAUCCCGUUUAUCCUCUGUUUGAAAUUAAGUUGUUAAAAUUUUGACUUCAAGCCGCAUAUCACAAAUAUGUACAGCAUGAUUCACGUGCAUGAAUUGACUUAUUUGCUGUUUAAUGAGGUCUUGUAGUUUAGAUUAUCUUGCCGUGCAUGCAGUGAGAAAGUUAUUGACUUGUUUUUUAAAUUUAUCCUUUAAUUAGUUUCUCACGGGUCAUAGUUUUUCGGUCAACUGCUAUCUCGAAAGCCAGUUUCACAAAACCCCCAGAUAUACUGAGAUUGGGUGUAUCAAGCCGUAUCUGACAUGAAAAUAAAAUCAGCAGGAAAUAAGCUUAUUUCUGAUACGGCACCAGUUUGUCGGGCACGUGGAGUGACUCAGUCACGAGUUGCCGUCACUUGAUAGAUAACGUGACCUAUAUGAUCUUUAAAAUACAGUACUCAAUAAAUAUCAAUAACCAAAUUGUCACGUGACCAAAGUGCGCUGUCCAAUAGCAGUUAGGUAAGCUGUCAUGUGGCAACCACGAGAGUAACACGAUGGUAGCAGCAUGGCAGGAUGCUCAUUGGACAAUGAACACUUUGUGUCGGAAGUAGAUACAGUUUUUUGCCUAUUUGAUACCAGGUCAGGAGUUCUAUAACUUACCAUAGUACAUAUGUGUGUCGCGUAUGUGAGCACAAAACUGUGCUCUUUGGUUCACCUUGCUUACUUUUCACUUCCCUUUAUGUUUUGGAUAUGUAUUCAACACAGAUAUUAUUGAAUUAUUAUCAUAUUAUUAUUAUAUACUGAGGCUCUGUUCUUUAUUUCUUAUAGUUUGCAGUCAUAGUCUGUCUUCGUUUUAAUUUUCUUUCUGUUGUAGUUGCAUAAAUGUAUUUCAAGAUCUUCUAAAUUGAUGCAUUUUACAUCUUGAGUCCCCGAGCAUAGCUAAACUAUUUUUCUGUUGUAAAUGUACACGUUCUAAAAACCUAGAAACACACUAACAGCAAACCAUUCUUAAAUGGUAGAUAUUAGCUGUAUGUGGGCAAAGUUGUUUUAAAAUGCUUCUCCUACAUAGCCGUAGCCAAUAGCCAUGUCAUGUUGAUCCUUAGAUUAGUAAGAAAUUGUACUAAUAAAUAUAUCAGAAUGAGUCUGUGUGACGAGGAAUACACCGUAGAUCAACUCUACGAUAUUUCACUGCAUCCCGACAAACUGAAGUCCUAUCCUGGCUUCCAAAACUUGCACAAAUUGACGUCUGGUACUAUGAAUUUUCACUACGAUCUACCAUACGACGAUAUAAAGGAAUUUGUAGAGGAGGAGAGGAAAACUGUUUUAAGUAAAGUCCCGGAAGAUGUGAUAAAAAGCAAUGGAGUAAAGUGGGAGCAUGUUGGAUCUACUUCCAUUAAAGGCAUGCCAGGGACGAUAUUUCCAGAUUCCUUAAUCCUUUUUGACUGCCUACCGAUUCCAAAACCUAUUUUCACUGCCCUUAUAGAUUCAGGAUUCUUGUUCGUCGGCUCCAGUCCUCAUCACCAAGAUGAUAUUUGGUUCAUAAAGCAGAUAACUAGAGAUGGGUCAAGACUGGACAAACAAUUCUUUAAAAUACACGUUACUCCAGCAACCUUAGGGCUAUCAAGAGUUUUGGUUGAAACCAGAGACAGAUGCAAUGAAAAUCAAACAGAUUUUGAGACCUAUAAGGAGGCAAAAGUGAAAGCAGCAAAACACUUGAAGGAAGGAAACUCAUUGGGUUACAAGAAGGUAAAAGGAUCAAACAAGCUUUUUGCAGAGCUUAAUGAAAAUAAUCCCAACUAUUCCGUACAGGGAAAGUAAACCUCAGAGCAGUUUGACAAAUCACCCGCGACAGGAUGAAGGAUAAUUAAUUUUAAGCUAUCAUGUUUUAAAAUUUUAUAUAAAGUUGAUUAAUGUGUCGUGUAGGAUAUAUUUAUGAGUCAAUACUUUACAUUGGAAGUUUCAUCUUAGAUUGAUUUGGAUUUCUAUUUUCGCCACUGCGAAAAUCCAAAUUUUGAUUUACUUUGGUUUGAAAAGUUGCUAAUAUAUCAAAGUUAUUUUUAAUAUGUAUUUUAACAUGUAAUAAUUUAUCUACAAAUUAUAACAAAAA